This 442-nucleotide small RNA is filed under the name uncultured Gemmatimonadota bacterium. Its description in RNAcentral is "bacterial SSU rRNA". The stretch from base 1 to 390 matches the Rfam family "Bacterial small subunit ribosomal RNA", at positions 1147 to 1533 of the family's 1533-position model. The record is from RNAcentral. Lineage: Bacteria; Pseudomonadati; Gemmatimonadota.
GACUGCCGGUGCCAAACCGGAGGAAGGUGGGGCCUACGUCGAGUCAUCAUGGCCCUUACGUCCAGGGCUACGCACGUGCUACAAUGGGCCGUACAAAGGGUUGCUCAGCCGCGAGGUGGAGCCUAUCCCUGAAAGCGGUCCUCAGUUCGGAUUGCACUCUGCAACUCGACUGCAUGAAGCCGGAAUCGCUAGUAAUCAUGGAUCAGCUACUCCACGGUGAAUACGUUCACGGGCCUUGUACACACCGCCCGUCACGCCAUGGAAGCUGUGAGCGCCCGAAGUCCGAGUCGCAACUCACAAGAGAGCAAGCGGCCGAAGGCGAUCGUAUUGACUGGGGCGAAGUCGUAACAAGGUAGCCGUAGGGGAACCUGCGGCUGGAUCACCUCCUUUCCGGAGCGACAAGUAGCGGCCGCCUCACGGCGCGUUCGUGAAAGUCCUCACG